RNAcentral lists this small RNA (350 nucleotides) under Arabidopsis thaliana (thale cress). RNAcentral's name for it is "ATSL265200". The record is from RNAcentral. Lineage: Eukaryota; Viridiplantae; Streptophyta; Magnoliopsida; Brassicales; Brassicaceae.
UACUUUACUAAGUGGGUCGAAGCGGAGGCCUACCACGAAUUGAAAUCCCUGCAGGUUGUCGCGUUUAUAUGGAAAAUAUCAUAUGUCGACACGGUCUUCCCUAUGAGAUCUUAACGGAUAACAGAUCGGUUCGUCUCGCUUAUCAUAAGGCAGUUCCUCACCAAGUGGAAUAUACGCCUUAGCAAUUCAACGCCGAGGUAUCUGAUAUAUCCCUAUUUUCACUGAUUUUAUCUAGGUCUUAGGGUUAGGAUUUUGAGUCUUUAUGUUAUUUCUCGAGUCUUUUUAGUGUCUUUUCAGGUAUCCUAUGCAUUGGGACAACAAUGGAGAUGAGGAGACAUUUUGGAGCAAAA